This 465-nucleotide ribosomal RNA is filed under the name Vreelandella stevensii. Its description in RNAcentral is "partial 16S ribosomal RNA". It matches the Rfam family "Bacterial small subunit ribosomal RNA", at positions 338 to 795 of the family's 1533-position model. The record is from RNAcentral. Lineage: Bacteria; Pseudomonadati; Pseudomonadota; Gammaproteobacteria; Oceanospirillales; Halomonadaceae.
CCUACGGGAGGCUGCAGUGGGGAAUAUUGGACAAUGGGGGCAACCCUGAUCCAGCCAUGCCGCGUGUGUGAAGAAGGCCCUCGGGUUGUAAAGCACUUUCAGUGAGGAAGAACGCCUGGUGGUUAAUACCCAUCAGGAAAGACAUCACUCACAGAAGAAGCACCGGCUAACUCCGUGCCAGCAGCCGCGGUAAUACGGAGGGUGCGAGCGUUAAUCGGAAUUACUGGGCGUAAAGCGCGCGUAGGUGGCUUGAUAAGCCGGUUGUGAAAGCCCCGGGCUCAACCUGGGAACGGCAUCCGGAACUGUCAAGCUAGAGUGCAGGAGAGGAGGGUAGAAUUCCCGGUGUAGCGGUGAAAUGCGUAGAGAUCGGGAGGAAUACCAGUGGCGAAGGCGGCCUUCUGGACUGACACUGACACUGAGGUGCGAAAGCGUGGGUAGCAAACAGGAUUAGAUACCCUAGUAGUC